UGUCAACUUCUAAUAUCCUCUUGUACCAAAAUCCAAAGAUCUCUCAAUUGCACUAUUAGAUUAACGCAAAAUUUUAUAUGCACUUAUUAUAUCCAAUCACCCAAGCAUUGUCAAAUUUUGAAUCAUAGAUGUGACACCAAUUGCACAAACUAGCCAAGAGUGCUAGCCUUAAUUAUAUUGCAUAAAUUCCAAAUCACUAAUACAAAUCUUGACUUUGAAGAAUAAGUGCAAAGUCAUUCCAAACCCUUUGAAAACAAGCUUUACACCUCUAGAAUCAACUUGAAGCUAGAUCAUCAAUCCUAAUUGCCAAUCUUUGAAUGCCCUCCUACUUUAUCCUAGGCAGUCAUUUUAGUGGCUAGAGGCUUGAUUUUGACCUUGUCUCACAAAUAGUCGACCCUUGAAUAUCAAUCUAACCUAUCCUAGGGGUUUUUUAGCCCAACCCUACCCUCAACUUAAUCCUAAUAUCAACUAUGCUAAUUAUUUAUCUCUUUUAAUCUGGUUUUACCAAUUUAUGGCCUUUCUAAGGCAAUAAAAGAGUUUUUGCAACCUAGAUGGUAAAAUUACUAACCAACUU
Molecule: long non-coding RNA, 574 nt
Filed under: Physcomitrium patens
Lineage: Eukaryota; Viridiplantae; Streptophyta; Bryopsida; Funariales; Funariaceae
Description: long non-coding RNA (PPAT_LNC015032)
Source: RNAcentral